This 317-nucleotide long non-coding RNA is filed under the name Homo sapiens (human). Its description in RNAcentral is "HSALNT0041701". The record is from RNAcentral. Lineage: Eukaryota; Metazoa; Chordata; Mammalia; Primates; Hominidae.
GCCAGGGAACCAGAGAUCAGCCAGGUAGCCCAACGCCUUUUGUAAUUAUGCAAACUAGACAAUCACCAAUGGUUCACUCCAUCUGCCUUACCUUUCCUUCGGAAACCUCAAUAAAGGCAGUGGCCUAACUCUUCCCCUAGCUCCUGUCUUCUGCCUCCUGACUACCACGGUGUCUUUCCCAUGUGAACUCAGGUGGCAUUUUGUGCCUCUAGGACCUUCAGCACUUACGACUGUUCAGAUUUGCAGAAGAAUCUUGAAUGCAUUGGACAUGGACAGAAACUCCGGGUCUGAAAAUAAAAAGCACAGAAAAAAAUAAG